GGGAAUCUUUAGUGCAGCUCGUGUAUGGUGGAUGUUUAGAGUUUUUGGACAUGACAGAGUUUGGGUUCUAGAUGGUGGCUUGCCAAGAUGGCGUGCUUCUGGAUAUGAUGUCGAAUCCAGUGCAUCUGGUGACGCAAUUUUGAAAGCUAGCGCUGCCAGUGAAGCAAUAGAGAAAGUAUAUCAACGACAGGCUGUUGCACCUAUUACCUUUCUGACCAAAUUUCAACCACAUCUCGUCUGGACCCUUAAUCAGGUUUGGAAGAACAUUGAAGAGACAACAUAUCAACAUAUAGAUGCUCGAUCCAAAGCUAGGUUUGAUGGUGUUGCACCAGAGCCUCGUAAAGGAAUAAGAAGUGGUCAUGUACCUGGGAGCAAGUGCAUUCCUUUUUCCCAGAUGCUUGAUGGUUCUCAGACACUAUUAUCGAAUGAAGAGCUCAAGAAAAAAUUUGAUCAGGAAGGUAUCUCUUUGGACAAACCUAUAGUAACUUCCUGUGGCACUGGAGUAACAGCUUGCAUACUUGCCUUGGGCCUCCAUCGACUUGGAAAGACUGAUGUUCCAGUCUAUGAUGGUUCGUGGACAGAAUGGGGAGGGCAUCCAGAUGUACCGGUCUCUACAUCUGAAGCAUAGAUUCUACAUGCUUUGAACAAGUGCUUCUACAUAUGACUUUACAAGGUCUACUUUGUCUGUAUAAUUUCUUGGUGGUGAAAAUGACAGCAGGUGUUGUAUCAUGGAAUAAUGAAACAAUAUGAUAUUCAAAGUUAGUUAUGACACAUAAAUAUGUCCAGAGUCUUAUAGGGCGGGAAGCCAAAUUUGAGGGUCUGGAGACGAGUUGGCAAUGGAUUGUUAUCCUGUCAGGACUUAUUUGCAACAUUGUUAUGUUAGGGACUUGAGACCUGAUUUUGAGAGAAAGAGAUAGUGGUAUAUUGGCCAGUUUAGAGGUAUUGUUUCCCAACUAUUAUUGGUCAAGUUGUUGAAUUUGACGAGGAGUCGAAUUUUUCUGAUCUUUCAUAAGCAACAAGCAUGUGCAUACUAGCACCACCACAAUAACAGAAUGAAGAG
Molecule: unclassified non-coding RNA, 1060 nt
Filed under: Hevea brasiliensis (rubber tree)
Lineage: Eukaryota; Viridiplantae; Streptophyta; Magnoliopsida; Malpighiales; Euphorbiaceae
Source: RNAcentral